This 73-nucleotide transfer RNA is filed under the name Ailuropoda melanoleuca (giant panda). It matches the Rfam family "tRNA". From Rfam's summary of the family: Transfer RNA (tRNA) molecules are approximately 80 nucleotides in length. Their secondary structure includes four short double-helical elements and three loops (D, anti-codon, and T loops). The record is from Rfam by way of RNAcentral. Lineage: Eukaryota; Metazoa; Chordata; Mammalia; Carnivora; Ursidae.
GCCUGGCUGGCUCAGUCGGUAGAGCACGAGACUCUUGAUCUUAGAGUUCUGCGUUCAAGUCCCACGUUGGGUG